CAAGCCUGGUGUGCUGGCCCCUCUCAGAAGAUCAGACUUCUGGAAUCGAUUUGGGUUCAGAAUUGCAUUACCGAAGGAAUGCCGAGUAUGCGCAGGCCUUGAUGGCUCGUGAACCACACUUCCUGGAGCUGGCCACAAGCCAGCACCGAGACCAUCAGCAUCUUAAAAAUGAAUUCUUUAUGAGACAAAGAACAAACCACCCAAUUUCUGAAAUCACUGAAGUGGAAAGCUUGUCUCCUGUUUUCCUCUGCUUCCUGAUUCGCACCACGUGGACACCCUUGCAUUUUUCUACUGCCACCGACUAAGCAAGUCCCCACCAUGAUGACCUCCAGCCUCUGGAACUUGAAGUCUUCAGGUCGCACUUUGUCACAGCAACAAGUCUGAACCCUUCUGUGGGUCUUCCAUCACACAACCCAGAAGCCUCCGUCAUACCCUCUGCUGCUUCGUCAAGCCCCUGACUCCCAAAUGUGUUUCUGGUCCAUAGCCUGAGUCCCCCCCUCCCACCACCUGGAACUGACGUUAUUGACUCCACAUUUGUCACAGCCAUAUUUACAUGAUGAGCAUGACAGGAAUCGCGGCCUCUCUAGACUCAUCUUAAAUGACACAGGGACGCUGUACACCCAAGGCACAGACAGGGUAGAAUGGUAAGUGAGGAACUCGUCCAGUGGCAAUAGGAGUCCAAAGCAAAGGCUUUGAGCUUCUCUCUGAGAAGUGAUAUUUGUGUUAGGCUCUCCUUUAGAGUUAAGAUGAGGGAUUCUCAAGAGGGAAAAUCAUGUUUUCAAAAGGACACCGUUUUUCUCUAGUGAGCCUGUCUGUACAAUUUACGGGUGCUUGGGGCAAAUAUUUUAUGUGUCAUUGCGGUAGGGCUAUCUUUAGCUCUGUCGAAUGCUGUCUUGCAAACGUCUUUGGCCUAUAUGUUAAUCUUUUCCUGCUGGAGUUCUUAAGUGGCAAACAACGGCUAGGUUAUAAAAGAGUCUACUCUCCAAAAUCAGAGAGAGUUAAGUG
This is a long non-coding RNA of Microtus ochrogaster (prairie vole), 1005 nucleotides long. RefSeq lists it as uncharacterized. The record is from RefSeq and is a predicted model, not a curated record. The transcript is spliced from 3 exons. NCBI's taxonomy places the organism in Eukaryota, Metazoa, Chordata, Mammalia, Rodentia, Cricetidae.